RNAcentral lists this ribosomal RNA (253 nucleotides) under uncultured bacterium. RNAcentral describes it as "partial 16S ribosomal RNA". It matches the Rfam family "Bacterial small subunit ribosomal RNA", at positions 524 to 776 of the family's 1533-position model. The record is from RNAcentral.
UACGUAGGGUGCGAGCGUUGUCCGGAAUUAUUGGGCGUAAAGGGCUCGUAGGCGGUUUGUCGCGUCGGGAGUGAAAUCAUCUGGCUUAACUGGGUGCUUGCUUUCGAUACGGGCAGACUAGAGGUAUGCAGGGGAGAAUGGAAUUCCUGGUGUAGCGGUGAAAUGCGCAGAUAUCAGGAGGAACACCGGUGGCGAAGGCGGUUCUCUGGGCAUGAUCUGACGCUGAGGAGCGAAAGUGUGGGGAGCGAACAGG